CCCAAGCAUGACCCCAAGCUCCUCCUCUUCAAAUGUCACGGUGGCAAGGCUGGUGCCUCUAAAAAGGGCAUCUUGACAAAGGAAGAGAAAGAUUGCAUAAUGUUUUAUGUGGUUACGAACAUGCAAGAAGUGCUCAAAUUCAUAAGCCAAUACAAGGAUGAAUAUUGGACGAGAUCGACGGAUCCCUCUGAUGCGGAGAUGGAGAUUCUUUUGAAAGAGAGUCGUCCCGGAAAGAAAAAAUUCCUGGAUUGGUUCUACGAAAAAGGAGGUGAUCCCAACGUUGAGAUGACGGAUGAGCUGAGAUGUGUUUCCCAGGGUUGCAACCGUAGAAUCUCAAUGUAUGAGAAGUACGAUGUGAAUGGGUAUCGCUUCCAUACAGAGUAUCACCAGAAGAAUCGGCCUAAC
Lolium perenne is the source of this 405-nucleotide long non-coding RNA. RefSeq lists it as uncharacterized. NCBI's taxonomy places the organism in Eukaryota, Viridiplantae, Streptophyta, Magnoliopsida, Poales, Poaceae. The record is from RefSeq and is a predicted model, not a curated record.